AGAAUCAACGCUGGCGGCGUGCCUAACACAUGCAAGUCGAACGAGAAAGUGGAGCAAUCCAUGAGUAAAGUGGCGCACGGGUGAGUAACACGUGACUAACCUACCCUUGAGUGGGGAAUAACUGAGGGAACCUUAGCUAAUACCGCAUAACACCUACGGGCCAAAGGAGCAAUUCGCUUAAGGAGGGGUCGCGGCAGAUUAGUUAGUUGGCGGGGUAAUGGCCCACCAAGACAGUGAUCUGUA
Molecule: ribosomal RNA, 243 nt
Filed under: uncultured bacterium
Lineage: Bacteria
Description: partial small subunit ribosomal RNA
Rfam family: Bacterial small subunit ribosomal RNA
Source: RNAcentral